This 113-nucleotide ribosomal RNA is filed under the name uncultured bacterium. Its description in RNAcentral is "partial 16S ribosomal RNA". It matches the Rfam family "Bacterial small subunit ribosomal RNA", at positions 403 to 524 of the family's 1533-position model. The record is from RNAcentral.
GCGGGAUGUAGGCCUUCGGGUUGUAAACCGCUUGUUGAUUGGGAGCAAGCCUUUUGGGUGAGUGUACCUUUCGAAUAAGCGCCGGCUAACUACGUGCCAGCAGCCGCGGUAAU